Molecule: long non-coding RNA, 422 nt
Organism: Patella vulgata (common limpet)
Lineage: Eukaryota; Metazoa; Mollusca; Gastropoda; Patellidae
Exons: 3
Source: RefSeq, a predicted model, not a curated record
ACUUUACCAUAUCAACAACAUAUAUUCCAUAAUCAAUCAACUGUCUCUCUAGUAUAGGAUGUAAAUUCUGCAACAGUAUCUGUGCUAGCAAUCGUAACUUGAAUUUAUCAACAGAAUAUAUUGAAAUGAAAAUCAACUCACCUAGUUUUGGAGGUACUAAGGGACAUAAUGGCAGGGAUUCAUUUGUAACUCGUUCCUUGAUGAAUCCUGGAUUCAGAAUAUAUAUAUAAAUUUACCAGCAGUGAAACGAAGGGCAGAAACGUAAGGUACAGUCAAAAAACAAUGGCAGGUUUGUAACUUUUUAUAAAUUACAUGCCCAAUCUUAUUACUGUUAUGAUGAUAAUGCUGAUUUGAGAAUAUGUAUGGUAUAUAAUAUAAUUCUCUUCAAACUAUCACUCAAUUAUAAGAAAAGAUUGUAUUGA